Molecule: unclassified non-coding RNA, 336 nt
Filed under: soil metagenome
Description: partial contains 5.8S ribosomal RNA, internal transcribed spacer 2, and large subunit ribosomal RNA
Rfam family: 5.8S ribosomal RNA (bases 1-120)
Source: RNAcentral
GAUGAAGAACGCAGCGAAAUGCGAUAAGUAAUGUGAAUUGCAGAAUUCAGUGAAUCAUCGAAUCUUUGAACGCACAUUGCGCCCCUUGGUAUUCCAUGGGGCAUGCCUGUUCGAGCGUCAUUUGUACCUUCAAGCUUUGCUUGGUGUUGGGUGUUUGUCUCGCCUUUGCGUGUAGACUCGCCUUAAAAUAAUUGGCAGCCGGCGUAUUGAUUUCGGAGCGCAGUACAUCUCGCGCUUUGCACUCAUAACGAGAGCGUCCAAAAGUAUAUUUUACACUCUUGACCUCGGAUCAGGUAGGGAUACCCGCUGAACUUAAGCAUAUCAAUAAGCGGAGGA